Molecule: non-coding RNA, 58 nt
Organism: Myotis brandtii (Brandt's bat)
Lineage: Eukaryota; Metazoa; Chordata; Mammalia; Chiroptera; Vespertilionidae
Source: Rfam
UGGCUCAGUGGAUAGAGCAUCAGCCUGUGGACUGAAGGGUCCCGGGUUCGAUUCCCGG